GCAGGUGCUUCAGCUGUUGCCGGUGCCUCACCACCUUAUUCCGGAAACAGGUGACGCUGUCCUGAGGGCGGCAGGCAUCGGGGUUGGCCAGCAUCCGCCGCAGCCCCUGCUGAAGCUCCGCCUGCAACUCGAGCUCCUGAUAUAGGUUCGUGCCCGUCGCGACGAACUUCUCCAUCUUCUUCACUUUGCGCUCCAUCUUCCGCCCGGCGUACUCAAAGCCGAAGGGGUCAUCGCCGUUCUGUACCAGGUUCGCGAACUCGGCGUCGAACCGCCGCAGCACAGGGUCGGAGCACCUCCACGCGAGGCAGGC
RNAcentral lists this long non-coding RNA (310 nucleotides) under Musa acuminata (dwarf banana). RNAcentral describes it as "long non-coding RNA (MACU_LNC004533)". Lineage: Eukaryota; Viridiplantae; Streptophyta; Magnoliopsida; Zingiberales; Musaceae. The record is from RNAcentral.